RNAcentral lists this ribosomal RNA (454 nucleotides) under uncultured bacterium. RNAcentral's name for it is "bacterial SSU rRNA". It matches the Rfam family "Bacterial small subunit ribosomal RNA", at positions 340 to 786 of the family's 1533-position model. The record is from RNAcentral.
UACGGGAGGCAGCAGUGGGGAAUAUUGCACAAUGGGCGCAAGCCUGAUGCGGCCAUGCCGCGUGUAUGAAAAAGGCCUUCGGGUUGUAAAGUACUUUCAGUCGUGAGGAAGGUGUUAAGGUUAAUAACCUUAGCAAUUGACGUUAGCGACAGAAGAAGCACCGGCUAACUCCGUGCCAGCAGCCGCGGUAAUACGGAGGGUGCGAGCGUUAAUCGGAAUUACUGGGCGUAAAGGGCACGCAGGCGGUUAAUUAAGUUGGAUGUGAAAUCCCCGGGCUUAACCUGGGAAUGGCAUUCAAGACUGGUUAGCUAGAGUCUUGUAGAGGGGGUAGAAUUCCAUGUGUAGCGGUGAAAUGCGUAGAGAUGUGGAGGAAUACCGGUGGCGAAGGCGGCCCCUGGACAAAGACUGACGCUCAUGUGCGAAAGCGUGGGGAGCAAACGAGGGAUUAGAUACC